AGAGUUUGAUCAUGGCUCAGAUUGAACGCUGGCGGCAGGCCUGACACAUGCAAGUCGAGCGGAUGAGAAGAGCUUGCUCUUUGAUUCAGCGGCGGACGGGUGAGUAAUGCCUAUGAAUCUGCCUGGUAGUGGGGGACAACGUUUCGAAAGGAACGCUAAUACCGCAUACGUCCUACGGGAGAAAGCAGGGGACCUUCGGGCCUUGCGCUAUCAGAUGAGCCUAGGUCGGAUUAGCUGGUUGGUGAGGUAAUGGCUCACCAAGGCGACGAUCCGUAACUGGUCUGAGAGGAUGAUCAGUCACACUGGAACUGAGACACGGUCCAGACUCCUACGGGAGGCAGCAGUGGGGAAUAUUGGACAAUGGGCGAAAGCCUGAUCCAGCCAUGCCGCGUGUGUGAAGAAGGUCUUCGGAUUGUAAAGCACUUUAAGUUGGGAGGAAGGGCAUUAACCUAAUACGUUAGUGUUUUGACGUUACCGACAGAAUAAGCACCGGCUAACUCUGUGCCAGCAGCCGCGGUAAUACAGAGGGUGCAAGCGUUAAUCGGAAUUACUGGGCGUAAAGCGCGCGUAGGUGGUUUGUUAAGUUGGAUGUGAAAGCCCCGGGCUCAACCUGGGAACUGCAUCCAAAACUGGCAAGCUAGAGUACGGUAUGAGGGUGGUGGAAUUUCCUGUGUAGCGGUGAAAUGCGUAGAUAUAGUGAAGGAACACCAGUGGCGAAGGCGACCACCUGGACUGAUACUGACACUGAGGUGCGAAAGCGUGGGGAGCAAACAGGAUUAGAUACCCUGGUAGUCCACGCCGUAAACGAUGUCAAUCUAGCCGUUGGAAUCCUUGAGAUUUUAGUGGCGCAGCUAACGCAUUAAGUUGACCGCCUGGGGAG
RNAcentral lists this ribosomal RNA (880 nucleotides) under uncultured bacterium. RNAcentral's name for it is "bacterial SSU rRNA". It matches the Rfam family "Bacterial small subunit ribosomal RNA", at positions 8 to 880 of the family's 1533-position model. The record is from RNAcentral.